GGAGUUUGGACCGUGUCUCAGUUCCAAUGUGGGGGACCUUCCUCUCAGAACCCCUACUGAUCGAUGGCUCGGUGGGCCGUUACCCCGCCGACUACCUAAUCAGACGCAUCCCCAUCCCAUAGCGGUAAACCUUUGCUUCACGUUAGAUGCCUGCUGUGAAGAACAUAGGGUAUUAAUCCGAUUUUCACCGGGCUAUGCCCUACUAAGGGGAAGGUUGGAUACGCGUUACUCACCCGUGCGCCGGUCGCCAUCAGAGUUUGCAAGCAAACUCCAUGCUGCCCCUCGACUUGCAUGUGUUAAGCCUGUAGCUAGCGUUCAUC
This 320-nucleotide ribosomal RNA is filed under the name uncultured Prevotella sp. RNAcentral's name for it is "partial 16S ribosomal RNA". Lineage: Bacteria; Pseudomonadati; Bacteroidota; Bacteroidia; Bacteroidales; Prevotellaceae. The record is from RNAcentral.